UACGUAGGGUGCAAGCGUUAAUCGGAAUUACUGGGCGUAAAGCGUGCGCAGGCGGCUUUGCAAGACAGAUGUGAAAUCUCCGGGCUUAACCUGGGAACUGCAUUUGUGACUGCAUGGCUAGAGUGCGGCAGAGGGGGAUGGAAUUCCGCGUGUAGCAGUGAAAUGCGUAGAUAUGCGGAGGAACACCGAUGGCGAAGGCAAUCCCCUGGGCCUGCACUGACGCUCAUGCACGAAAGCGUGGGGAGCAAACAGG
RNAcentral lists this ribosomal RNA (253 nucleotides) under uncultured bacterium. RNAcentral's name for it is "partial 16S ribosomal RNA". It matches the Rfam family "Bacterial small subunit ribosomal RNA", at positions 524 to 776 of the family's 1533-position model. The record is from RNAcentral.